GCUUACGGCCUUACCACCCUGAACACGCCCGAUCUCGUCCGAUCUCGGAAGCUAAGCAGGGUCGGGCCUGGUUAGUACUUGGAUGGGAGACCGCCUGGGAAUACCAGGUGCUGUAAGCU
Electrophorus electricus (electric eel) is the source of this 119-nucleotide ribosomal RNA. NCBI's taxonomy places the organism in Eukaryota, Metazoa, Chordata, Actinopteri, Gymnotiformes, Gymnotidae. The record is from Ensembl.